GAUGAACGCUGGCGGCGUGCCUAAUACAUGCAAGUCGAGCGAACGGACGAGAAGCUUGCUUCUCUGAUGUUAGCGGCGGACGGGUGAGUAACACGUGUAUAACCUACCUAUAAGACUGGGAUAACUUCGGGAAACCGGAGCUAAUACCGGAUGAUAUUUUGAACCGCAUGGUUCAAAAGUGAAAGACGGUCUUGCUGUCACUUAUAGAUGGAUCCGCGCUGCAUUAGCUAGUUGGUAAGGUAACGGCUUACCAAGGCAACGAUGCAUAGCCGACCUGAGAGGGUGAUCGGCCACACUGGAACUGAGACACGGUCCAGACUCCUACGGGAGGCAGCAGUAGGGAAUCUUCCGCAAUGGGCGAAAGCCUGACGGAGCAACGCCGCGUGAGUGAUGAAGGUCUUCGGAUCGUAAAACUCUGUUAUUAGGGAAGAACAUAUGUGUAAGUAACUGUGCACAUCUUGACGGUACCUAAUCAGAAAGCCACGGCUAACUACGUG
This 497-nucleotide ribosomal RNA is filed under the name uncultured bacterium. Its description in RNAcentral is "partial 16S ribosomal RNA". It matches the Rfam family "Bacterial small subunit ribosomal RNA", at positions 28 to 507 of the family's 1533-position model. The record is from RNAcentral.